UGAUGCACACAGCAUACCGAACUAACCGAAGCACACGCAAGCGAUUUGCAAUGAAUUCUACAGUACGCAGCGUAUUGAUUUAUUAAUGUUGUUUGGGAUUUAUCACUUAUGAGAAUUGUAGAGCCGCAGAGUUUUUACUUGGAGACGUCAGCCGUGCGUUUUCAAAAUUUUCAUAUCGGGAACUGAGAGCCCCUUCUUUUGUCACCGUGGUUUUCCUUCAGGUCAAGAGCAUUAUUCAGCUGGUAGCGAUGUCUCAUAAUUCCUCAGCGUCUACAAGCCACGAACGAUUCGGGCUACAACUGGCCAGCAGCAUCAAGCGCUCCCUGAACAGUGGAGAGUUCAGUGACGUACAGUUUACUGUCGGACGACAGUUCGGACCAGCACAGUGUUUCCGUGCGCAUAAGUACGUCCUGAGCCUGCGUUGCUCGGUGUUUGGCGCGAUGUUCUACGGAGAUUCUCCACAACGAUGUGAUCAACCUAUUGACAUUCCUGAUGUUAUUCCCGCUGCCUUUGGAAAUAUGCUCAGUUUUCUAUAUACUGGCACUGUGGAGAAUUUGUAUAUGGACAACGUCAUCCACACGCUGGUAUGCGCCAAGAAGUACGAUCUGCCGCUGUUGAUGGAGAUGUGCAGCGACUUCGUCAGCGCCGGUCUGGGCGUCAACAACUGCCUGGUCAUCCUGGAUACUGUCGUUCGUUUCGGUGCCGACUUGAAGGCGAUUAUGGAGCGCUGCCUAGACUUGAUCGAUCGCUGUGCUGACGAGCUCCUCCAGUCGGAACAGUUUGCACAACUUCGUCACAAGACCAUCAUGAUGAUUCUGCAACGUGGCACGCUGUCGGCAGCGGAAUAUAACGUCUACUUGGCUGUUGAGAGAUGGGCGCGGGAAGUCUGUAAGGUCGGCAACGUGGACCCGUCGCCCACCAAUCGGCGUCGGAUGUUAGGGGAAGCGUUGUUUUUGGUGCGGUUUCCGCUGUUGACCAACGCGCAGCUGGCUGAUGGCCCCAUCAAGAGUGGCCUGUUGCUGCAGUCCGAGGUACAGAACCUGUUUCAGUACCGAUUCGCCACGGUGAAACCGCCUCUGCCAUUCUCCGCACAGCCUCGCAAAGCCGUCGGUGUAGGGAAUGUCGUAAUCAAGGAAGAAGAACCUGUCUCCAGCACACAUCCAGCGGAAGGCAGAGUGUACCACGGGGGUCCGAGCGCCGCGUAUGGAGACGGUGGGCCGAGCGCAUACACCUGUCCUCGUCCGGAAUGUGAGGAAGCGUUCAGCGCUAAUUACGCACUACAGCAACACCUGGACAAUCGCCAUGGGUUGGUGACCGCCGCCCUGCCCAGGGAGGACCCCCAGAAGAAGCUAUUGUGCCGCAUCUGCAAUACGUGGAUUGCCAGUCCCAAGCUUAAGAAGCACGCUGCUGACUGUAUUGCGAAGAAGAUGGCAUCUAAAACUACAAUUCAUGUUUAUACGAAGAAACGAGCCGCGUAAAGAACGAACAAACUCGAGUGGUUAACAGCGCACGGGGAUAAAAGGGAAUGGUGGGAACGCUGUUCCUGGCUGUUCAUUUAGAUGCAAUUUCGAAGUUGGGAUCCUUCUGUUCGAAUGGAUAUUCCGAUAAUAUUCCGAUAUUCCUGUCACGACUUGAAGGUGGCGGCAUAAUACGUAUUUAUUAUGAACCGCCACUGAGGGCGCAAACAACCAACUGAUCGUUGUCAAUUUGUCAUCAGGACAACAAUGGCACACUGCAACCGCAGUUGCCAUGCUGGACAACACACCACAUAGAGGUCACAGAGGACACAACAUUCUCGUGACGUCAGUGCCACUGCACUACGCCACACGCCCUUCACUUCUGAAGUGCUAACAAAGAAGUACAAAUCCAUAGUCAUACUAGUCAAAGCACGUACGUACAGAUACAAGCACAGAAUUUUCUUAGCAACGAUCAUUAAUUCCAUUUUCCGUAUUAAAAUGCACAAACUCACUCAACCUGUACAAUUGCGUCCUUGUACGUACAACUCGCUAAUUCUCCCUUGCUGGUGAAGGUCAUCUGGCUGGCUCUCCGAGUCCAGCAUUCACCAAACUCUUUCCACGCCGUCCGUCUCACCGCGCUCUUCGUGCCUCAACCAGCCUGAUAAGCAUCCGCACGGCUUCUUGAUCCACUGGAAUCUUUCAUCCUUUCACCACGUUCCUUGUUCAUCGUUUCAGAGACUGUGCCUUGUCACUGGCACCGUCGCUGGUGUCCACGGAUGUCUGGCUUCGCUCACCCUUCUGCCACGAAGGAACCGUCGGUCUCCAGGCUUCGCCCAUUUCCCAGGUGCGUCGCCGAAACCAAUUCUCUUCCUUGGCUGGGCAGCCUUAAGCAGACGUAUAUCUUGGUCACAGGCCUCACGGAGGAACGGUACUCGUCCGCCUCUCCAUCGUCGCGGCUUUCCCAUCUGCCUCCACAGGUGCGGCACUUCUCCUCCCGCCCUGCUUUCCCUCGUGGAUACCAUCCACGAUUCAGGCACUCGUUCCCAGCACACGUUUUACAUCCGAUGGAUGGAGUUGUUGUGCCUCUCCCUCGCUCGUCGAUCGCGUCGUUCCGGCAGUAAAGCAGCAUACAUUAACACCUAUACGCCACAAGUACUGACAUCCUUCACGCCACUGUCACGACUUGAAGGUGGCGGCAUAAUACGUAUUUAUUAUGAACCGCCACUGAGGGCGCAAACAACCAACUGAUCGUUGUCAUCAGGACAACAAUGGCACACUGCAACCGCAGUUGCCAUGCUGGACAACACACCACAUAGAGGUCACAGAGGACACAACAUUCUCGUGACGUCAGUGCCACUGCACUACGCCACAAUUUUCGUGGCUUUAUUUUAUUUUGUUCCUUUCACAUGUGGUACACGACCAGAUUUUGUUUUUUAAUUUGUUAUCGUGUUAUGUUUGCACUGACUUGUGAGUGUUGGAUGAGAACUGGUUAUGCGUCUUUCCGAUAUGGUUGAGUAGUGGAAGAUGACUGUUUUUACACGGAUAUUGUUCGGUCAGAUUUUUCAAAAAAAGCCAGGACGAGAGCGUUCGACAUUGGAAGUUCGCAAAAAGGAAUUUUGAGCAGGCGCGUAUAAGAUAAAUUACAGCGUGAUAGUGUUCCAUUUCUCCACCCGUACUGCCGACUGGAAGCGUCUGCCGCACAAAAUCGUCGUUCCACAAUUUUAGCGUUAUCUUUAAGUGGAACGUGUCGAUGAGGGGAUUAUACAUCACAUCGGUUAAAUUGGACAGCAACGUCGCCAUGGGCGAGAAGAAGAAGGUUGGUUCAGCUGAGUCCGACGAUGCAGCCUGGAGAUUCCCACUUGGCGGCCGUUGUAUGACAUUGUGAAAGCCGGUUAUGACAACUUCCAGUUCCCGUGGAUUUGCAAGGGUAGCUCGGUUCACAGGCUGAGUCAGUGCAGCAGCUGAGCUAAUUUGCUGUUGAUCCGUGCAA
RNA transcript from Paramacrobiotus metropolitanus, 3447 nucleotides. It is a transcript of the gene named BTB/POZ domain-containing protein 6-B-like, with no coding region annotated. The transcript has 8 exons. The record is from RefSeq and is a predicted model, not a curated record. NCBI's taxonomy places the organism in Eukaryota, Metazoa, Tardigrada, Eutardigrada, Parachela, Macrobiotidae.